This 1190-nucleotide long non-coding RNA is filed under the name Anas platyrhynchos platyrhynchos (common mallard). RNAcentral's name for it is "lncRNA (ENSAPLG00000026713.1)". The record is from RNAcentral. Lineage: Eukaryota; Metazoa; Chordata; Aves; Anseriformes; Anatidae.
CCCCACUCCUCCUGUUUUCCUGUGCUCGCUUCCUUUAAGAUGUAUUUUUAUAGCCUUGUAAAACACCACUGUAUAUUCCUGUAUAAGCUAGUAAAGACACGAGCACAAUGCAGUUCUGCGGUUGUUACUACAGCGGUGCCUGAGAAGGAACCCCUGCAUGCCAGGCUGGGCGUAUACACUGAGCAAUGGAGAGGUCGUGCCCAAAACAGGCAGGGCAGGCUGUGGGGAACAAGCCUGUGUCAGGAAGGAAGAGGAGAAGAUGGAGGAAAGGGGAGGUUGUUUCCAGGCAGGAGAGCAGCGAGAAGGCAACAGGAGAUGGGGUCCCAUAUGGCUGAAGCUGAGAUGAAGAGAUGUUGGACCCAUGUGCCCUUCUGGGCGAAACCACUUCAACUCCAAGAGCUGUUGGCAUCCCCAGUCACUAAUCCAGUUCUGGAAAAGCUGUGCCUGGGAGGCAGCAGAGGCCAUACAAGAAGGUUAUGGAAAACAGCUACCUCUACCUUCCUAGCUUCAGACCCUGCAUCUACAGCAUGUUGGGUGCCCCAAAGGUUGUUCUUACCACAUCCCACUCUCUUUAACCUAAAGGAGGAUGUUGAGGAUAAAGGUUUAACUUUUUGCAAAGCAAAUGUUUCAGUCCUUUCUAGGGGCAAUGACAACCACAACUCCAAAGAGAAUUGAUUCUACUAUCUGGAGGACUUAUAAUUCCUCAGUGACAACCAGUGAUUACUCCAAGUACUGUGCCUGGAGCAGCAGCUUCAGAGUUGAGAAAGGUCAGCAACAACAGAGAAAGGGUAAAUCACAGGGCAGAUAGAGGGAAGUGCAGUACAAAGCAAAAAGAUGUUUGCUGCUCUUGGCAAAACAUGUCUGAGCUCCUCAGGGUGGGAGAUCUCCACGUGGACAAACGCAGAACAUUGUGCAUCUGCUCCACCUGCACUUGGAGCAAUCCAGAAGCUGGACAGUUUGGGGCCAAAUAGUGGCACCAGCAUAGCACUGUGCUUGUCUUGAGCUAUUUAUACACACAACUCUGAGCAGGGCUUAUUCUUUUAUGCUCCAGGCCUUGCUAACGUGAUUUUGUGCCUUGCAGAGCACAACUAUCUGAGGCAGUGCCUGAACAGGGUGCUAAGCUUGACUGUCUAGACCAAGGUAUAACAACAUGCUUAGUGACCUUCAAUAAAAAAGUAUUUACCUUAGCA